RNAcentral lists this ribosomal RNA (430 nucleotides) under uncultured bacterium. RNAcentral's name for it is "bacterial SSU rRNA". It matches the Rfam family "Bacterial small subunit ribosomal RNA", at positions 96 to 524 of the family's 1533-position model. The record is from RNAcentral.
CGGCGCACGGGUGCGGAACGCGUAUGGAACCUGCCCCUGUCAGGGGAAUAGCCCAGAGAAAUUUGGAUUAAUGCCCCAUGGUAUCGGGAUAUCGCAUGAUAUUCCGAUUAAAGAUUUAUCGGACAGGGAUGGCCAUGCGUACCACUAGCUGGUUGGUGAGGUAACGGCUUACCAAGGCAACGAUGGUUAGGGGCCCUGAGAGGGGGAUCCCCCACACUGGUACUGAGACACGGACCAGACUCCUACGGGAGGCAGCAGUGAGGAAUAUUGGACAAUGGGCGGGAGCCUGAUCCAGCCAUGCCGCGUGCAGGAUGACUGCCCUAUGGGUUGUAAACUGCUUUUAUACGGGAAGAAACCUAUCUACGUGUAGAUAGCUGACGGUACCGUAAGAAUAAGGACCGGCUAACUCCGUGCCAGCAGCCGCGGUAAU